Molecule: ribosomal RNA, 877 nt
Filed under: uncultured archaeon
Lineage: Archaea
Description: bacterial SSU rRNA
Rfam family: Archaeal small subunit ribosomal RNA
Source: RNAcentral
CAUAACCCCGGGAAACUGGGGAUAAUUCCGGAUAACGCAUAUUUGCUGGAAUGCUUUAUGCGUCAAAAGGAUUCGUCUGCCCAAGGAUGGGUCUGCGGCCUAUCAGGUAGUAGUGGGUGUAAUGUACCUACUAGCCAGCGACGGGUACGGGUUGUGAGAGCAAGAGCCCGGAGAUGGAUUCUGAGACAUGAAUCCAGGCCCUACGGGGCGCAGCAGGCGCGAAAACUUUACAAUGCGGGAAACCGUGAUAAGGGGACACCGAGUGCCAGCAUCAUAUGCUGGCUGUCCGGAUGUGUAAAAUACAUCCGUUAGCAAGGGCCGGGCAAGACCGGUGCCAGCCGCCGCGGUAACACCGGCGGCCCGAGUGGUGAUCGUGAUUAUUGGGUCUAAAGGGUCCGUAGCCGGUUUGGUCAGUCCUCCGGGAAAUCUGAUAGCUCAACUAUUAGGCUUUCGGGGGAUACUGCCAGACUUGGAACCGGGAGAGGUAAGAGGUACUACAGGGGUAGGAGUGAAAUCUUGUAAUCCCUGUGGGACCACCUGUGGCAAAGGCGUCUUACCAGAACGGGUUCGACGGUGAGGGACGAAAGCUGGGGGCACGAACCGGAUUAGAUACCCGGGUAGUCCCAGCCGUAAACGAUGCUCGCUAGGUGUCAGGCAUGGCGCGACCGUGUCUGGUGCCGCAGGGAAGCCGUGAAGCGAGCCACCUGGGAAGUACGGCCGCAAGGCUGAAACUUAAAGGAAUUGGCGGGGGGAGCACAACAAACGGGUGGAGCCUGCGGUUUAUUUGGACUCAACGCCCGGACAACUCACCGGGGGGCGACAGCAAUAUGUAGGCCAAGCUGAAGACUUUGCCCUGAAUCGCUGAGAGGAGGUGCAU